UUGUUUGAGUGGGUAACAGAGGCUACCACUAUCGCGCUACAUCAUAUUGACACUAUAUCUGUCGGUGUACGUCUAUAAUUAUAAUAUUAUGACUAUAUGUAGUAUGAAAAUAGGUCACCUUAUAGGGAGAUAUACUAUAAUGCUUAUACGUUUAAUUUUAUACACAGAAUUGGUAUAUCAGAUGGUUGGAGAUGUUGUUGAUAUAGGGAUGCAUUCUGUUGGACCAUAUGAUCCAGAGAUAGUGUUGGACAUUUAUAUAAAUUAUGCCAAACUUUUUCAAAAUUUAUAUGAGGAAAUGAGUCAUGGGAUGGUUUACGAACACCAACAUGGUGGAUUUCGGUUUUAUCUUAAUUUAGUUGAGAGCUAUAUACGGAGCCAACAUUUAUACGUAAGGAAUAAAGAAUCGUGGACAACCUUGACGGAUCGAACGAUUAUUUUUGAUAUUUUGAGAGAAGGAUCCAUUUACUUGAACUUUACUUUUCAAAUUUUUAAACAGUAUUGUAACCCAAUUUACAAUGUCAUUUGGAAAAUUCAUAUGUUUUAGUAGGGUUUUUAUAUAAUUGUGUUCAAUACGGUCAAAGGCUUUUUUCCUAAUCAAACGAUAAGAUAUAGGCAUUAGUUUCAUGUGUUUCUAAAUAAUUUAGGAUUGAAUCAAUUAAAUACAGGUUAUCGAAGGUGCUUUUAUUUGGUCCGGCUCCCGUUUGUGUUUUAGAGAUCAAUUUGUUAAUAACUGUGUUCAUUCAUAUACUUAAUAUUUUUGUGAUGAUUUUAUAGUCGACACAUAACAGGCUUAUUGGUCUAUAGUUCUUAAAUAAUCGGUGGUCGCCUCUAUUCUUAUAGACAAACAAUUUAUUCUUAUAAUUAAUUAUUAUUAUACCGGUUCUCAUUGGGUUAGAUAAUUCACCCUGUAGAUAGAUGUUGUUUAUUACUUCUGUCAGGUCGGUUCCUAUUGUGUCAAAGAAUUUGAUAUAGAAAUCUCCUGGAAUACCGUCGAUGCCUGGGCUACGGUUUGAUCUGAAACUUUGUAACGCCUUCAGAUCUUCAUCUUUAGAUAUGAAAUGAGACAGGGAAUCUCUUUCCGUGUUAGGGUAUUUAUGUUACUGUUUUCAAUAUAGGAGUUUAUUAGGUUUUCGACAAUGUUUUGGGUAGUAUAUAGUUGUUGGUAAUAUUGGUGAAUUGU
Molecule: long non-coding RNA, 1180 nt
Organism: Patella vulgata (common limpet)
Lineage: Eukaryota; Metazoa; Mollusca; Gastropoda; Patellidae
Exons: 4
Source: RefSeq, a predicted model, not a curated record